UAGAUUCCCUGUAAGGAGCCUCUGAAAGAGUGAUACAUGAGGCUAUGAUGGUGAAGCACUGGCUGGAAUAUGAACCCUCAGUAUUGGAGGUGCUAAGAACAUGAGAACACCUGCAGAGGAGAAUUGCAGCCAACAACUGCAUACACUGAAGAGUGAGGCCACAGAAGCCAAAAAUAAUAAUACCAUCGUUAUAGGGCGGCCCAACCCAGUUAGAACCUACUGCACACGGAGGCCAAGGGCUUUCUUUAUGUACAUUAUCUUCUUUCAUUCUUGCCUUCUGUAAGAUCAUGCAAUACUCAUCUUGGCCCCAAUUUAUAUAUGAGCACAAGUUUUGGGUGCAAGGCUCUCAGGUAUUCUGCUGGAGUCUAGAGAGACCAGUCAGAUAAUCAGUAAGUUAAUGAACAACCACAGUCAGCAGGGAGAGGUGCCCUGAACCAGUAUGCAACUCUCUCUGCUAGGUGGAGAUUCCCCAGGAAGUGUAGCCUGAGGCAAGAAGAAGUUGUUGAGAAACUACAUUACAGGGAGUGGGAUGAGCUGCCAGAAGGAACAGACCUGGAAGAACCUUGAUAUAGAUGCUGGGAUUUCAGUUGAUGUUUAUUCACUCAGAGUUGCCUACCUGGUCAGUUACUGUUGACAUCGAGGUGAAACGUGUCCCCUCAGCACAGAAACCAGGCCCUUCAAGGGCCUUUCCACAGAUAAACUCCCCCCUCUCUCGUCCCCGUGAUGAAGAGAAAGGAAAACAGAAAACAGUUAAGGUAUUCAAGACAUGGAGCCCUCCAGAACAGCUAGAAGAACCAUUGGCAACAGAGGUAAUUGCUUGUCUCAUGGUAUAAAGAUACCUACUGUGGGAAUAGCAAAUGGGAAGCUCACCCAUGUAACUGGAAACCUCACAAGGCAAUAACUGAGUAACAAGUUUUAGUUACAUUGUAUUCCUGUUGCAAGACAUCACUGCCAGAGCUACUCAUAAAAGACAGCAUUAAAUUGGACUCACGUUU
Non-coding RNA from Peromyscus maniculatus bairdii (prairie deer mouse), 995 nucleotides. NCBI's taxonomy places the organism in Eukaryota, Metazoa, Chordata, Mammalia, Rodentia, Cricetidae. The record is from RefSeq and is a predicted model, not a curated record.